This 72-nucleotide transfer RNA is filed under the name Danio rerio (zebrafish). It matches the Rfam family "tRNA". From Rfam's summary of the family: Transfer RNA (tRNA) molecules are approximately 80 nucleotides in length. The record is from Rfam by way of RNAcentral. Lineage: Eukaryota; Metazoa; Chordata; Actinopteri; Cypriniformes; Danionidae.
UGGGGUAUAGCUCAACAGGAGACCAUUUGACUGCAGAUCAAGAGGUCACUGUUUCAAAUCCAGAUGCCUCCU